This 253-nucleotide ribosomal RNA is filed under the name uncultured bacterium. RNAcentral describes it as "partial 16S ribosomal RNA". It matches the Rfam family "Bacterial small subunit ribosomal RNA", at positions 524 to 776 of the family's 1533-position model. The record is from RNAcentral.
UACAGAGGGGGCAAGCGUUGUUCGGAAUUACUGGGCGUAAAGGGCGCGUAGGCGGCCUGUUAAGUCGAACGUGAAAUCCCUGGGCUCAACCCAGGAACUGCGUCCGAUACUGGCAGGCUUGAAUUCGGGAGAGGGAUGUGGAAUUCCAGGUGUAGCGGUGAAAUGCGUAGAUAUCUGGAGGAACACCGGUGGCGAAGGCGGCAUCCUGGACCAACACUGACACUGAGGAGCGAAAGCCAGGGGAGCAAACGGG